UACAAGCUUGUUGCCCUUGCCUGUAUUUAUUAGAUUGACAAGCUUGCUCCGUUGCAUGCUUUAGGUAUUUUGCCUAUUUUGAUCAGUUUGGAUGUUAUUUGCCUUGUCCUGGUUGCACUUUGAAACCUGGAAAUGGGUCUACCUUGCAGUGCAGAGGCAUGCUGGUGAGUGGAUUGCAGUGAAGGGAGCUGCCUGUCCUUGCUUCAAGUAAAA
RNAcentral lists this unclassified non-coding RNA (213 nucleotides) under Hevea brasiliensis (rubber tree). The record is from RNAcentral. Lineage: Eukaryota; Viridiplantae; Streptophyta; Magnoliopsida; Malpighiales; Euphorbiaceae.